Molecule: RNA transcript, 873 nt
Organism: Hordeum vulgare subsp. vulgare (domesticated barley)
Lineage: Eukaryota; Viridiplantae; Streptophyta; Magnoliopsida; Poales; Poaceae
Exons: 4
Source: RefSeq, a predicted model, not a curated record
AAAAUCCCCAGUCCCCUUUCUAUCUUCCCCAAUCCAUCUCUCACCCGCCCACUGACCGCCGCUGCGCCCCCGCGCCUCCCAUCUUGCUUCUCAGUUCUCACUCCACUGCUGCCCUUGUCUCGCGGUGCACGCGUCGCCGACGCCUGAGCUUCUCCUCACCGGGCCAGGUGCUGGGUUCCUCCGCGACAGAUCCAUUAUGUGCUAGCCAGGUCCAGAUCGACGACGCCGAGGGAAAAAAUAAUCCACUGCAUGCCGACCGUCUCGCGGCACCGGCGCCAGAGCUCCCACCUCCCUUCUCCUCGCCUGGAUCCACAACCGAGUUCAAGCCGCGACCGAAUCCAUCCCGCGAGGGGUACCUAACCAUUCUUGCAGAGUUCCUCAGGUACAAUACUCUGACAGAGUACCUUCUUCAGAGUGCAGAGGAGCAAAAUUGUUCUAAUCAGCAGCAGCACAACACAGCCACUUGGAUCAGCACAAGAGGAGCAUCAGCAGCACGGGCACACGAGCAACAACAGCUAGUUCUUCAGGUGCAAUGGAAAAUAAGCAAGCUUAUAUCUGAAAAAUGAGUUAGCUAGGCUCAGAAUUUUGAGUUGGCCCCUUUACAUAAGUUUUAGAUAAAGUUUCAAGGUUUCUUUAGAGUAUUUAUUUGUGUCGUUUGGAUGUACGGUUUGAGAGCAGCUAUCAGUUUAGUUUGCUGUGCCGAAAUAUAUGUUCCUGGGUACCGUAUUUCGAUAUGGGAGAUAAGGCCCUGUUAGAGGUGGUAUUAAAAUAAAGUUACAACAUGAAAAUUUUAGAGGCUGUUCUGUUGAUACUUGAAACACAUAUCACUUGUCAGGUUUCGUUCGGUAUAUUAAAUCCUAUGAAAUUAUCAAA